RNAcentral lists this ribosomal RNA (558 nucleotides) under uncultured bacterium. RNAcentral's name for it is "bacterial SSU rRNA". It matches the Rfam family "Bacterial small subunit ribosomal RNA", at positions 102 to 674 of the family's 1533-position model. The record is from RNAcentral.
ACGGGUGAGUAACACGUGGGUGAUCUGCCCUGCACUCUGGGAUAAGCCUGGGAAACUGGGUCUAAUACCGGAUAGGACCACACACUUCAUGGUGAGUGGUGCAAAGCUUUUGCGGUGUGGGAUGAGCCCGCGGCCUAUCAGCUUGUUGGUGGGGUAAUGGCCCACCAAGGCGACGACGGGUAGCCGGCCUGAGAGGGUGACCGGCCACACUGGGACUGAGAUACGGCCCAGACUCCUACGGGAGGCAGCAGUGGGGAAUAUUGCACAAUGGGCGCAAGCCUGAUGCAGCGACGCCGCGUGAGGGAUGACGGCCUUCGGGUUGUAAACCUCUUUCAGUAGGGACGAAGCGAAAGUGACGGUACCUACAGAAGAAGGACCGGCCAACUACGUGCCAGCAGCCGCGGUAAUACGUAGGGUCCGAGCGUUGUCCGGAAUUACUGGGCGUAAAGAGCUCGUAGGUGGUUUGUCGCGUUGUUCGUGAAAACUCACAGCUUAACUGUGGGCGUGCGGGCGAUACGGGCAGACUAGAGUACUGCACGGGAGACUGGAAAUUCCUGG